This is a long non-coding RNA of Trifolium pratense (red clover), 452 nucleotides long. RefSeq lists it as uncharacterized. The transcript is spliced from 4 exons. The record is from RefSeq and is a predicted model, not a curated record. NCBI's taxonomy places the organism in Eukaryota, Viridiplantae, Streptophyta, Magnoliopsida, Fabales, Fabaceae.
GUGUUGAGAUAGAUAGAGAAAUAUAUUAGUUAACGGAAAAUUGCUUUGAAGAUUUUUCGUGUUCCUUUUUGUUAUUGAAGAUUGUGGCGACUGUGGUCUUUUUGGAACUUCUUUUAGUUGUAGAUACUUGUUGUUGGGUUGGGUGGUUGAAGUGUGGAUUCGUUACAACUCUGCAAAAUUUGGACAAGUUUAUGCAGUAGCUUCUACUCGUCUUGUUACAGAACAAGUGAUUCAGACUCAUGUGUUCUAGAGAACAAAUCUAUUCCUUAAUUUGCAAGUAUGGAGGGGCCGAAGGGUUACACAAUCUAGCUUUUUGGAUUUGUGCUAGCUCUGUUAUGUCAUCAGGGGGGCGGAGGGUUACAAAAUCAAGCUGCAAGACAAAAGAAGCUAUUAUAUUCUAAAAUUGCAUGCAGUUUUGGAAUUUGUAUACCUUCAGCGGAUCAAUUAGCUCG